Molecule: ribosomal RNA, 466 nt
Filed under: uncultured bacterium
Lineage: Bacteria
Description: partial 16S ribosomal RNA
Rfam family: Bacterial small subunit ribosomal RNA
Source: RNAcentral
GACGAACGCUGGCGGCGCGCCUAACACAUGCAAGUCGAACGAGCGAGAGAGAGCUUGCUUUCUCAAGCGAGUGGCGAACGGGUGAGUAACGCGUGAGGAACCUGCCUCAAAGAGGGGGACAACAGUUGGAAACGACUGCUAAUACCGCAUAAGCCCACAGGUCGGCAUCGACCAGAGGGAAAAGGAGCAAUCCGCUUUGAGAUGGCCUCGCGUCCGAUUAGCUAGUUGGUGAGGUAACGGCCCACCAAGGCAACGAUCGGUAGCCGGACUGAGAGGUUGAACGGCCACAUUGGGACUGAGACACGGCCCAGACUCCUACGGGAAGCAGCAGUGGGGAAUAUUGCACAAUGGGGGAAACCCUGAUGCAGCUACGCCGCGUGGAGGAAGAAGGUCUUCGGAUUGUAAACUCCUGUUGUUGAGGAAGAUAAUGACGGUACUCAACAAGGAAGUGACGGCUAACUACGUG